UACGGAGGGGGGCUAGCGUUGUUCGGAAUUACUGGGCGUAAAGCGCACGUAGGCGGCUUUGUAAGUUAGAGGUGAAAGCCCAGGGCUUAACCCUGGAAUUGCCUUUAAGACUGCAUCGCUAGAAUCGUGGAGAGGUAAGUGGAAUUCCGAGUGUAGAGGUGAAAUUCGUAGAUAUUCGGAAGAACACCAGUGGCGAAGGCGACUCACUGGACACGUAUUGACGCUGAGGUGCGAAAGCGUGGGGAGCAAACAGG
RNAcentral lists this ribosomal RNA (254 nucleotides) under uncultured bacterium. Its description in RNAcentral is "partial 16S ribosomal RNA". It matches the Rfam family "Bacterial small subunit ribosomal RNA", at positions 524 to 776 of the family's 1533-position model. The record is from RNAcentral.